CAGGUUGACCAGAUGAUCGCGGCACAAAUUGUGUCGAGGAAAGUCCGCACUCCAAAGAGCGAGAUGCCGGGUAAUACCCGGAGCGGGAAUGCCUUUUUAGGUAACCUGCUAGAUCGGGCCACAGAAACAAACUGCCUUAUGGGCGAUGGUGAAAUGGUGGUGUAAGAGACCACCGGCGAUUGUAGUAAUACAACGGCCAGGCAACCCUCAUCUGGAGCAAGGCCAAGCAGGAACAUAGCCAUUUGGCAGGAGGCUGCUCGUCUCCUUAUAAGUUCCGGGUAGGCUGCACGAGUGAAUUGGUGACAAUUCACCUAGAGAGAUGAUCAUCCUUUGAAUUGCCGUCCGAAGAGGAUACCCAAUGAAAAGACAGAAUGCGGCUUAUUGGUCGACCUGGUAU
Molecule: RNase P RNA, 397 nt
Filed under: Chloroflexi bacterium HGW-Chloroflexi-3
Lineage: Bacteria; Bacillati; Chloroflexota
Description: RNase P RNA component class A
Rfam family: Bacterial RNase P class A
About the family: Ribonuclease P (RNase P) is a ubiquitous endoribonuclease, found in archaea, bacteria and eukarya as well as chloroplasts and mitochondria. Its best characterised activity is the generation of mature 5'-ends of tRNAs by cleaving the 5'-leader elements of precursor-tRNAs.
Source: RNAcentral